AUCUUUACACACGGCUCUUCUGUCUGGAGGGAGCCUUAUUUCUCCUUUAUGCACUUUCAGGAACUCUGCUGUUUGCUGAAUUUAUGAAGUGGAGAGAAGGGACCUCGCUGUGCCUGCAGCCAUGUGACCCUCGGAGCUUCCCUCUGCUGCAGGACCAGGGCACUCGACACUGACACCCUCCAUUGCCGAGAGUGUCUCCGGAUGGGACGUGAAGGCAGGCGACAACUGUGAUCUUCCUUUAUGAUUGCAGUCCCCCAUCCGCUCACGGACGCUUGACGCUUUCUUGAGCACCUGGAUGCGGCAGUGACACUUCCAGGCAGGUGCUGUUGGAGCAAAUAAGCAGGUCCAAAUCCCCGCCCGGAGCUGCUGCCCAUGCCGGGGGAGACACUCAGGACACAGACUGGCAGAUAACCUGCGCUGAGGGACUGGAGGAUGGGAAGGGCUCGCUGGGGGAGGUGUACAGCAAGAUGGGCCGGGACCCCGGGGGCAGGAGUGCAGUCGUCAGUAGGACAGCCAAGGCAUCCCUAGAAGCUGGCACUUGGACCAAGCCAGAAGGGAGUGAGGGGUACAGGCAGGCUGACCGCAGGGGCAAGAAAGCAAGCGCCAGGGUCCUGAGGCAGGAUAGGGAGUGGUGGGUGCCCUGGAGUGGUAAGGAUGAGGACAGAGAAGUGGCAGGCCCGUGAGCAUUGCUGAGACCUCUCAGGUCCUCAGGGAGAGGCAGGGGCCAGGGAAGGCCUUGGGGCUGACAAGCACAAGACCCACCUCUCUUGACUCCCUGGAGGAGCCCACCAGGAGGAGAGAAUCUGAGGCAGCCCCAUUCCACCCACACGCCCACCCCCUCCAGCUGACUGCUCUAGCCAGACUGAACUUCUUCCAGCUUCCUGAAUGUUCUCUCCACCGGGGCCCAUGGGCUUCCCUCCUUUCACCCAGUGACUUGCUCUUCUAGAGGCCAGAGGAGCCUCACAAGGGAUGAGCUUGCUGGGCAUGGACAUCCACCGGCUGCACGCAGCAGGGACAGUCCUCCCCAAGAUCAAGAGUUGGGGGUAAGCAGGGACUCCCCCUCUGCAGCCUCAGAACUCAGCUGCUUUCAUCAAACCAACUCUUGCUGCAGGACCAGCACGAGGCCAUCUGUCCAUGGUGGGCCCUCUGGCUUCCAGUUCUUGGCAGGCAUGCUGUCCAGCCAGAACCCCUCUGAGAAAAAGGCUGUUUCCCCAUCUGUAAAAUGAGGGUGACGACGGACAACUUGCGGGACUAAGGUGGAGGUGGACUGAGGUUCUGACGGCCCCAUCUGGACUGUAAGGCGAGGGUGCUUUGUAGGACUCUGCCCUUCUCAUUACGAGACUUUGCACAGUGGUCCUACUGGAUGCUGGAUACACAGAGAGGAUGGAACGUCUCCGUCCUCAGGAAUCUGAAGGCCCUGAAGUGGCAUCACUUGCAUGGUUAUGAGGGUCGUGAUUGUCUCCCGAUGGGCUGGGAAGGACCCAAUGGCAGGAAAAGGAACACUGGCCACUGGGGAGAGCCCUGGCUAGAGCAGGACGGCCUGGGCUGAGCCGAGGUUGGCUGCUGUGUCUCGGGAAUCUCCUGUCCUUCGGUGGCGCCAGGCAGUCAUGGGAUGGGACCAGGGCUUCUGUGAGUCCCCCAUGCCCAUGGCUCCUCCAGUGCUGCCACCUGAGGACCUUCCUCCUGAGCCGACCUCCUUCCGCCUCUUUCCAGGGCUCCUCCUGGCUGCCCGUCUGCCUGGUAAUGUCGGGGCUCAUUUUCUUUGAAGAUGGCUGUUGGGUUGCCUCUUUCCUGUUUAUUUGUGAGCUGCAGUGUGAAAUAGCUACUAAUUCAGAUUUUUACUGUGGAUAAACAAAUACAGAAAAUUAACAGAUGUGUUUUGCCGAUGUACUCAGCAAAAAUAACAUCCAUCGUGAUGGCAGGCAUGGAGGAGGACGGAGCCAUGAGGAGGCCGAGAGCCCGGACCCAACAUCCACAGUGCGAAACCCGAGACAUCAGAGAGGGUGGCAGAGUGUGAUGUGGCCAGGUUAGCCUCCUGGACCAGGAAGCAGAACUGGAGAGGGACAGAGGGCAGGAGCACAUGGACCCCAGAAGGGCAGGGAGGCGGAGCCCCGGGUUGGACCAGGUGGCCAUGAGUUCAUCUGGAAUCCAGCAUGGCAGAGACCCCAGGCUGGAGGCCCGGGAAGACUCCGUAGCAGAGGAAGUUGGACCAGAGCAUGUGGAUUUCAAAGUGCAUCAGGAGGCCGAGGGCCUGCAGAUAUUUGGAUCUCAGCAAUGGAAUGGGAACUAGACCCCUAAAGGCAGGACAAAGCCCCCGGGGAUGCCCCAGCCACAGCAAGGCAGGACGGAGCCCUCGGGGAAGUCCCAGUCAUGACAAGCCAGGACAGAAUCCUUGGAGACACCCCAGCCACAGCUGGUUUCAGUGUCUGCAUCCCAAUUCAAGAUGCAGAGAAACCUCCAAGUUUCUCUUGCCACAGGAAAGGGGGCGAGGAGAGCAGGUCCCUGGAAAGGACUGUGGAGGAGAACCCAGCAGGUGCGCCCCACAGCCCUGGUGCCUUUAUCAACCCC
This 2568-nucleotide long non-coding RNA is filed under the name Homo sapiens (human). RNAcentral's name for it is "HSALNT0406641". The record is from RNAcentral. Lineage: Eukaryota; Metazoa; Chordata; Mammalia; Primates; Hominidae.